GGUUCUUCUUUGAUCUCAUCAUCUCACACAUAUUUCUGCUCCUUCAUAGCACCCACAAAAGGCACUUUUAAGAGCCACGUCUGUCGUAUCUGUCCCUCAUCUUUGUGUCCUUAAUUUGUCUAUUGUUCUUCACUUAAUUUGUCAACAAUUCUGUUUGUCUGUCUGUCUGUUUUUGUCUGUCUGUCCAUCAGAAGUCUUUGUUGUUGUUGUUUGUUUUUGUUGUUGUUUUUUUUUGCACUUUGCCAUCGUUUUUUAAGUAUGACAAGCCUCAAAUUCAGGCCAUGCACACAGUGUCAAACGCCCAAUCAGGCAAACAGAAAAACUUGUUUCGUCUGCCACCAGAGCCUUUCCACACAAAAAAAGGUGCAGACUUUCAACAAUCAGUGGAGGGAAACUGUUGUGAAAAACAGAAACGUUUCCCGAAUAAUCGAUUCUGCGCAAAUUGCAUUGUGCAAACUUCAUGCUUUAGGCUACAAGCCUAUUUUAUUUCUUGUUAAGGAAGAAAAGUAUUCAAGCAAGUGGGGUAGCAGAUGUAAUUACUCAUUUGGAGACCACUGCUACUACCAAGAAUUUUCUUGAGAAGAUUAAGAUGGCUUAUGAGUUUCUCCACUCUGUAGGCACGCCUGUACCAGUGCAGCCCCACACCUCCACAGGACAGGCUUUUUCACCCAAGGAGCUCUGGGCUGGUGAAAAAGCUGAGAACCUCAUCUAUGAACCAACAGAGACCACAGCUGAGGAGCAGCC
Poecilia latipinna (sailfin molly) is the source of this 744-nucleotide long non-coding RNA. RefSeq lists it as uncharacterized. The record is from RefSeq and is a predicted model, not a curated record. The transcript has 3 exons. Lineage: Eukaryota; Metazoa; Chordata; Actinopteri; Cyprinodontiformes; Poeciliidae.